This 253-nucleotide ribosomal RNA is filed under the name uncultured bacterium. Its description in RNAcentral is "partial 16S ribosomal RNA". It matches the Rfam family "Bacterial small subunit ribosomal RNA", at positions 524 to 776 of the family's 1533-position model. The record is from RNAcentral.
GACGUAGGGCGCGAGCGUUGUCCGGAAUCAUUGGGCGUAAAGCGCGUGUAGGCGGCCAGAAAAGUCCGCUGUGAAAACUCGAGGCUCAACUUCGAGCUGUCGGUGGAAACUUUCUGGCUAGAGUCCGGAAGAGGAGAAUGGAAUUCCUGGUGUAGCGGUGAAAUGCGCAGAUAUCAGGAAGAACACCCGUGGCGAAGGCGGUUCUCUGGGACGGUACUGACGCUGAGACGCGAAAGCGUGGGGAGCGAACAGG